AUUGAACGCUGGCGGCAUGCUUUACACAUGCAAGUCGAACGGUAACAGGGAGCUUGCUCCGCUGACGAGUGGCGAACGGGUGAGUAAUGUAUCGGAACGUACCAUUCAGUGGGGGAUAACGUAGCGAAAGUUACGCUAAUACCGCAUAUUCUGUGAGCAGGAAAGCAGGGGAUCGCAAGACCUUGCGCUGAUUGAGCGGCCGAUAUCAGAUUAGCUAGUUGGUGAGGUAAAGGCUCACCAAGGCGACGAUCUGUAGCGGGUCUGAGAGGAUGAUCCGCCACACUGGAACUGAGACACGGUCCAGACUCCUACGGGAGGCAGCAGUGGGGAAUUUUGGACAAUGGGGGCAACCCUGAUCCAGCCAUGCCGCGUGAGUGAAGAAGGCCUUCGGGUUGUAAAGCUCUUUCGGCCGGGAAGAAAUCGCAUCAGUUAAUACCUGGUGUGGAUGACGGUAC
This 455-nucleotide ribosomal RNA is filed under the name uncultured bacterium. Its description in RNAcentral is "bacterial SSU rRNA". It matches the Rfam family "Bacterial small subunit ribosomal RNA", at positions 30 to 478 of the family's 1533-position model. The record is from RNAcentral.